GCAAUUAACUCUUCUCGACCCGGCUUCUUUCCUCUCUCUCCCGUUCACUUUCCCCUUUUCGACCCACUGUUCCCGCGUGUUCUGCUCGCAUCGCCUUCUUCCGCCCCAAUCUGCUUGCUUUCACGAUGACCUUCGCCGUCGAUCAUGCGUAUGGCUGAGAUCUAGGUUGCCCUCUGUUUUCUUGACGUGGUAUUGAUUCUUGAGUUUUACUGAACGUGGUCUGCUGGUGCUCAACUGUGCGUCCUUCUUCCACCGUUCAUCGACCGUCUGCUGCUACUCAUUCUUAGCAGAGGUCUACCAGGUCCAGAAUAUCAUCUUGGCUCGAUCCUGCCCUGUACUGUGCUUAGUGCUCCUAUCAAGGAUGUGUGUUGUUGUUUACUUCGUCGUUCCUGUUUUAGAGACUCUUGCAGCUCGUUGUGCUUUGCCGACCUUGUUUUACUUGUAUGAGGUGACUGAGGACGGCUCUGUUUUGGCUGGGGUAGAGCUUGAGCUUCCUUUGGAAGGCGUCGGCGCGGUGUCACGGAGGCAGUUCUUUUGGAGCACAGCCUGGCGUGGCUGCGUUGGCGCUUACGAUCACGCUGCUGUGCAGGCCAUCAAUUGAGACUACAACUAUGAAUGCAUGAUGGCGUAUAGGGAAUCCAUGCGUUCUGCUGUUCUUGUCGCUGUGCAUGCUGCUCGGCACGCCGGGAGAUUGGAGAGAGAGGUUUCUGUAGGGCCAGGGUUAUUUACCUCGCCUCCUGUUGAGCGGGGAACGUUAGAUUGGAAUUUAUCGUGCUCUCAGCUUAUGGCAUCCAUGCGUAAUGUGUAGAUUUUGUAAUUGAUUCUUGUACUGAAACUAGGCUGCUUACUGUUUGAGAGCUUUGUAUAACGAGAUGUGGUUUAUAGUGAGAUUAUUGCGUAGUCGGGUGUGCUGUUCUCUGUA
Long non-coding RNA from Triticum urartu, 922 nucleotides. RefSeq lists it as uncharacterized. NCBI's taxonomy places the organism in Eukaryota, Viridiplantae, Streptophyta, Magnoliopsida, Poales, Poaceae. The record is from RefSeq and is a predicted model, not a curated record.